Molecule: long non-coding RNA, 390 nt
Filed under: Olea europaea (common olive)
Lineage: Eukaryota; Viridiplantae; Streptophyta; Magnoliopsida; Lamiales; Oleaceae
Description: long non-coding RNA (OEUR_LNC012112)
Source: RNAcentral
AAAAAAGUUGCUUUCUUUCUCACUAUAUAGGAAAUCUUUCAAAUGGCAAGCAUUGCAACGGUGAAGAUUCUGUGUUGGGUGCUGGUUGGGAUGGUGGUAGUUGCACCCAAUUCUGAGGCGGCGAUCUCAUGUGGCUCGGUGGCUAACACCCUAGCUCCAUGCCUUAACUAUGUGUUGAGUGGUGGUGCGGUGCCUGCUGCUUGCUGCAAUGGGAUUUCUUCACUCUAUAACUCACUGAAGACCACCCCCGACCGCCAAACUGUCUGCUCCUGCUUGAAAUCCGUUGCUGGUUCCGCCUCUCCUACCAACUUUAAGAACGCUGCUGGCCUCCCAAGCAAAUGUGGCCUCAACAUUCCUUACAAGAUCACCCCCUCUAUUGACUGCUCCAAG